CGCACCUGCGAGAACGCUCGCCGAUGCGCGCCUCGGCGACCGUUAUCGUCUACCAGAAUCGCUCACCCGGACUUUAAGAGAACGUUUCACCGAGGAUGAGUCAGUAAGAACCCGAUCUCUUUCGCGAGAUUGCAUUUUCUAGCGCGAUCGUAUAAAGAUAAUCGGGCGUAGGAAAGAAGAGAAACUCACCGUCACUUCGCGUUAACGUAUUAAUCAUCGUGAGCCAGAUACACGUGUUGGAGCCCUCGUGUCGCAUCCACACCAGACUGAAUACCUGCGGGCACUCGCCAUCCUCUCGUGACAGAUAAUUCUGCAAUGAGAGAACAACGCGGAUUUUCCGUUAGCUGGCGUCAUUUCCAUUCAAUGCGAUGUUCGGCAUCGACUGGUGAUCACCCUUAGCGCGAACUCACCCUUAGCGCGGUUUCGACAUUACUGAAGAUGCCCCUGUCUUCACCACUGGGAAAUACGACCAUGUCGGCAGGAAAGAAUUGCUGCAAAAAAUUAAGGAGAUCUCUGUAUAUAUGCCGUAAUUCUCCUAUUUUUAUCUAUUUUGAUAAAUCGGAGAAGGAAACUCUGACAGGACUGAUAUUGAAGGAAAUAUAUACAUCUACACUGUAAAAA
Long non-coding RNA from Odontomachus brunneus, 621 nucleotides. RefSeq lists it as uncharacterized. The transcript is spliced from 2 exons. The record is from RefSeq and is a predicted model, not a curated record. Lineage: Eukaryota; Metazoa; Arthropoda; Insecta; Hymenoptera; Formicidae.